RNAcentral lists this ribosomal RNA (727 nucleotides) under uncultured bacterium. RNAcentral describes it as "bacterial SSU rRNA". It matches the Rfam family "Bacterial small subunit ribosomal RNA", at positions 771 to 1498 of the family's 1533-position model. The record is from RNAcentral.
AACAGGAUUAGAUACCCUGGUAGUCCACGCCGUAAACGAUGUCGACUUGGAGGUUGCUCCCUUGAGGAGUGACUUCCGGAGCUAACGCGUUAAGUCGACCGCCUGGGGAGUACGGCCGCAAGGUUAAAACUCAAAUGAAUUGACGGGGGCCCGCACAAGCGGUGGAGCAUGUGGUUUAAUCCGAUGCAACGCGAAGAACCUUACCUACUCUUGACAUCCACGGAAUUCGGCAGAGAUGCCUUAGUGCCUUCGGGAACCGUGAGACAGGUGCUGCAUGGCUGUCGUCAGCUCGUGUUGUGAAAUGUUGGGUUAAGUCCCGCAACGAGCGCAACCCUUAUCCUUUGUUGCCAGCGAUUCGGUCGGGAACUCAAAGGAGACUGCCGGUGAUAAACCGGAGGAAGGUGGGGAUGACGUCAAGUCAUCAUGGCCCUUACGAGUAGGGCUACACACGUGCUACAAUGGCGCAUACAAAGAGAAGCGACCUCGCGAGAGCAAGCGGACCUCAUAAAGUGCGUCGUAGUCCGGAUCGGAGUCUGCAACUCGACUCCGUGAAGUCGGAAUCGCUAGUAAUCGUGGAUCAGAAUGCCACGGUGAAUACGUUCCCGGGCCUUGUACACACCGCCCGUCACACCAUGGGAGUGGGUUGCAAAAGAAGUAGGUAGCUUAACCUUCGGGAGGGCGCUUACCACUUUGUGAUUCAUGACUGGGGUGAAGUCGUAACAAGGUA